AUCUAAAUAGUUUAUUAGAAUAUCGAUUUGUGGGGUCGAAGGAAUAUUAUAAGUAUUUUAGGUA
Molecule: transfer RNA, 64 nt
Filed under: Gryllotalpa orientalis (oriental mole cricket)
Lineage: Eukaryota; Metazoa; Arthropoda; Insecta; Orthoptera; Gryllotalpidae
Description: tRNA-His
Source: RNAcentral